AAGCACAGAGCGCGCGAGAGAAAGACGGACAUACACACACACUCCUUUGUUCUUUCUCUGUCCCUUGCUCAUUGGUCAUCACACAGGCAUUCUUGGCCCCACCCUCCUUUGUCUUGUUGUCAUACAUUCACCUUGUCUCUCUCUUUGUGCUGUGGGUGUAUGACACAGAUAUCUCUCCUGGAGCGCCUCUCAGCCCAUGCUGCCUGGGCUGCAGUACUGAUGUGGUAGUAAUAGUUAUUCUGCUCUGCUGCCUCGGUCCCAUUAGAGGAGCUAGCUAGCCAUAUGCUGCUGCACAUCGUGUUCUGUGGUGCUCGCGCGCGCACACACACAUGUCUGUACACAUAGUCAUAUUCAUCAGUGAGGUAGUUGUAGGUGGAGCAUGCAGCAUGUGUGUGCAUGCUGUGAAGGGUUACGGUUAGGUAUGGUUAGGACAUAAAAUAGAAGGCAUUAACAGCCAGUAUGUAGCCUAACUCCUUACUGCUCUGCUGUAGAACAGGAACACUGCUCCAGUAACUGUCAGACAGGAGUCUAGCUUAUUAUAGUGCAGUCAGGAGGCUGCAGCUAACCCCUACCUACAUGUACAUAUUACCUCCACUAACCUGUACCCCUGCACAUUGACUUGGCGCCCACUGUAUAUGAAGCCUUAUUAUUCAUUUUUUUUACUUUAGUUUAUUUAGUAAAUAUUUUCUUAACUGCAUUGAUGGUUAAGGGCUUGUAAGGAAUCAUUUCACGGUAAGGUCGACACCUGUUGUAUUCGGUGCAUGUGACAAGUACAAUUUGAUUUGAGCUAGACUCCUGGCUGUCCGGAGUGUCAGCCAGGAGUCUAGGUGGGUGAGCUGCAGAUGUCCCCCAGUCCCAUCUCUGAUCAGAUGCCUCCCUCCCAGUCCUCCAGUCCCAUCUCUGAUCAGAUGCCUCCCUCCCAGUCCCAUCUCUGAUCAGAUGCCUCCCUCCCAGUCCUCCAGUCCCAUCUCUGAUCAGAUGCCUCCCUCCCAGUCCCCCAGUCCCAUCUCUGAUCAGAUGCCUCCCUCCCCAUCCCAUCUCUGAUCAGAUGCCUCCCUCCCAGUCCCCCAGUCCCAUCUCUGAUCAGAUGCCUCCCUCCCAGUCCUCCAGUCCCAUCUCUGAUCAGAUGCCUCCCUCCCAGUC
This 1143-nucleotide long non-coding RNA is filed under the name Salmo salar (Atlantic salmon). RNAcentral describes it as "lncRNA (ENSSSAG00000098290.1)". The record is from RNAcentral. Lineage: Eukaryota; Metazoa; Chordata; Actinopteri; Salmoniformes; Salmonidae.